RNAcentral lists this unclassified non-coding RNA (261 nucleotides) under plant metagenome. Its description in RNAcentral is "partial contains small subunit ribosomal RNA, internal transcribed spacer 1, and 5.8S ribosomal RNA". The record is from RNAcentral.
UUUCCGUAGGUGAACCUGCGGAAGGAUCAUUAUCCAUCUCAGGCCAGGUGCGGUCGCGGCCCCCGGGGGCUUGCUCCCGGGUGGUAGGGGUAACACCCUCACGCGCCGCCUGCCUGUACCCUCUUUUUACGAGCACCUUUCGUUCUCCUUCGGCGGGGCAACCUGCCGCUGGAACCAAGACAAAACCUUUUUUGCAUCUAGCAUUACCUGUUCUGAUACAAAUAAUCGUUACAACUUUCAACAAUGGAUCUCUUGGCUCUG